AUACGUAGGGGGCGAGCGUUGUCCGGAAUGAUUGGGCGUAAAGGGCGCGUAGGCGGCGCGGUAAGUCUGGAGUGAAAGUCCUGCUUUCAAGGUGGGAAUUGCUUUGGAUACUGCCGCGCUUGAGUGCAGGAGAGGUUAUCGGAAUUCCCGGUGUAGCGGUGAAAUGCGUAGAGAUCGGGAGGAACACCAGUGGCGAAGGCGGGUAACUGGACUGCAACUGACGCUGAGGCGCGAAAGUGUGGGGAGCAAACAGGAUUAGAUACCCUGGUAGUCCACACUGUAAACGAUGAAUGCUAGGUGUAAGAGGUAUCGACCCCUUUUGUGCCGGAGUCAACACAAUAAGCAUCCCGCCUGGGGAGUACGGCCGCAAGGUUGAAACUCAAAUGAAUUGACGGGG
This 397-nucleotide ribosomal RNA is filed under the name uncultured bacterium. RNAcentral describes it as "partial 16S ribosomal RNA". It matches the Rfam family "Bacterial small subunit ribosomal RNA", at positions 523 to 918 of the family's 1533-position model. The record is from RNAcentral.